GUGGGGAAUAUUGGACAAUGGGCGAAAGCCUGAUCCAGCCAUGCCGCGUGUGUGAAGAAGGUCUUCGGAUUGUAAAGCACUUUAAGUUGGGAGGAAGGGCAGUAAGUUAAUACCUUGCUGUUUUGACGUUACCGACAGAAUAAGCACCGGCUAACUUCGUGCCAGCAGCCGCGGUAAUACGAAGGGUGCAAGCGUUAAUCGGAAUUACUGGGCGUAAAGCGCGCGUAGGUGGUUUUGUAAGUUGGAGGUGAAAUCCCCGGGCUCAACCUGGGAACUGCCUCCAAAACUGCAUGACUAGAGUACGGUAGAGGGUAGUGGAAUUUCCUGUGUAGCGGUGAAAUGCGUAGAUAUAGGAAGGAACACCAGUGGCGAAGGCGACUACCUGGACUGAUACUGACACUGAGGCACGAAAGCGUGGGGAGCAAACAGGAUUAGAUACCCUAGUAGUCC
Molecule: ribosomal RNA, 450 nt
Filed under: uncultured bacterium
Lineage: Bacteria
Description: partial 16S ribosomal RNA
Rfam family: Bacterial small subunit ribosomal RNA
Source: RNAcentral